GGCGCAGUGGGUUGGACCGCAGUCCUGCUCUCCGGUGGGUCUGGGGUUCAAGUCCCGCUUGGGGUGCCUUGCGACGGACUGGCGUCCCGUCCUGGGUGUGUCCCCUUCCCCCUCCGGCCUUACGCCCUGUGUUACCGGGUAGGCUCCGGUUCCCCGUGACCCCGUAUGGGACAAGCGGUUCUGAAAAUGUGUGUGUGUGUGUGUGUGUGUGUGUGUACAUAAAAGAUAUAAGAGAUCUGUUUCAAGUUUCAGUUUCAGAUACGUGGACAAUAAUUUUCUUGUCAUGCUGGUUUUCAACCAAUGAGAUUAACUGGUGUUCAGUUACAGCAGGUAAAUUCGACAGGUGAGCAGUUCCUGGUGGACAUUUUCAUAGUCAGACACCGAUCUCCUCCAUACUAAAUAACAAUUUUGGAUAUUUACAAUACUUCCUAAGUCCAGGUCCUGAAAUGGAGAGUUGUGCCUCAGAAAUUAGUCACUCUGGAGAAUGUAAGGAAUGGGAACCAUCCUCAGAAAUGACUCUGAACAGAGUCCAACAGGAAAGAAGAGACUCACCUGAACCCAGCUGUGUGUCCAUGAAGAGUGACCGGUCAAUGGAACAACCUAUUCGUUUCCAACAGGGACAGGUUUCUACAGAUGGAAGAAAUCAGCUGAAGAGAUGUGACUCGGCGCAUCAACAGGUUGAUUUAUCAGCAGUUUUCAAGUCUCUUGAGGACAAAGCUGUGAAGUUCCUGAGAGAUGAGUUGAACAAGUUGAAGAGGAAUCUGAGUCAGGAUUACCCAGCAUGCCUUGAGCCCCAGGCUGACAAUGACCUGGACAGUGAAGCUGAGAUCCAGAAGAUGUGUGGCAGAGAGGGGGCUCUGAAGAUCACACUGUACAUCCUGAGGACCAUGAACCAGAAGGACCUCGCAGACACACUGGAGAAGAGUAAGAACUUUGUGUAUCUCUUUACAGUCUCAUGUAGCUUAAUUUUCUUUUGAAUUCGUUAUACAAUAAUACACCAGGAAAGACGUUCAACCCCUCGUGCCAAAAUCAAGGGGGCUGGACAUAAAACAACCAUGCCACCAAUACUCCAUCCCUCCCAAAACCCCACCUGCCCCUCACCCCACCCCAAUACAGCUCUCCCUAAAAAAAUCAGCCCACGUCAUGGGUAGGCACCACCCUCCUCGCUGGGAGCCACCACGAGCACGUCGCUGGGGUUGUCAAGUGGGCACCUUGCUUUGUUGAUGUUUCAUUGAAUUGAGCCCACGACACCUCCAGAAGGCUCAACAGCAAGAUCUGGCAUCCCAGACCCACCCCCCAUCCAUGCCUGCGGUGCCAUCCCAGCGGCUCCACCCACCAAAGAACCUCCCACCCCAGCCAUACGUUAGCCACCGACAAACCAACCAACACACCACAUCAGCACAUGGAGGCGACAGCAAGACUCACCAUUUGACAGUCACAUAAGCAAGUACUCCCUACUCAAGUCUGCUUCCCCCAAACAUUUUGCUGCCUCCUCAUCCACAACCACUGACUGGGUCUUUCUGCUACCUCCGACGAGUUUUUUAAUCACUGCUUUUAACGACUGACCCUUGAAACCAAAAUUCAACAGUAGUGACGUGCUUGAUUUUGCAACAAACCCUCUUGCACCAAUCUCCACCGGUCUAAUAAUGCACUGCCAGCCUUGUUCCCUCACCUCACUGGCCAACUCAAAGUACUUCAGUUUCUUCCUCUCAAAGGCAUCCUCCAGUGCGUCUUCGAAGGGUAUCGUUAACUCAAUGAAGUACACUACCAGUGCGCCCUCGGAGUACAGCACACUAUCGCGUCUCAAUGCCGUGACCACAAUGCACUGCGGUAUCUGCAGGUGUUUUCCCAUGUCCGCUAGCAACUUCCAGUCUCGUACUUCACCCCUUAAAACUCGUACCACCUCCUCCACGCCCGUGACAUGCACCACUCUCCCCCAUCCCGCACAAAAGAAAUUACCUUAUUUCUCCUGCCAUGCAGGAGAGAAUUGACCUCAAUCCGCUUAUUCUCCAACAAGCAUGCCAAGGAUUUUAGCACUUCAUUAUGCAUCCAAGCAUAUCUUCUCUGAGAUAAACUAACCUUGCACGCUGACAAAAUAUGUCUCAGAGGCUAUACCACCACGCAAGCUGCAAGUCGGCUUCGUACCUACCCAGCGACUAAGAUUCUGUGUAGUAGGAAGAACAUCAUAGGUGGCUCCAAUGAGAAACUAAUAUGACCGGCGUCCAUCGCCCACAGACCAUACCAGCCAAUCUUCCAUUUCUCCAUACACUCCCAAGUCAAACAUUGCCCCUGCACUCCAUGUGACGUCGCAGUUGCCCCCCUCGUCUACUGUUUCUGUUCCUGUUUGCGGAUAAAACCAAUCACCAGCUUCCUCCUCUCCGGCAGCUUAGCUUUAUUCCACAAUUUUAUCGGAUCACCGGCACCGAGCCCCGCCCUACCUGCCUGCACCUGACCGACCACAUCUCUGUGCUCAAGAGCUGCCUGUGCAUGCGCAACGACUCCCCCCGGAUUCCACUUGCGUCCUGUUUUAAUCUUACAAGAAUCAGUCUCACCACUGGGUCCCUUGUGCUUGACAAUAUCAAUUCUAAGCCAACCUUGGCACACUCAAAUUCUUCUACUAGAAUUGUCAGAGGCAACUCCAAGACCCCCUUUCCAUACAAAGCCACACUACUUGAACAAUGAGGAAGCCCCAACCAUCUCCUUAUAGCUUUGCUCAUAACACCUUUGAGUCUUUCCACCUCUGACAUCGAAACCUCGUAAACAAUUAGCGGCCACCUAAUACGAGGCAAUAGACCAAACUGCAAGCACCACACCUUCAGUUUCCCUGGUAAUAAAUAUUUAUCAGUCUUUUUAAUUGCCUGCA
This is a long non-coding RNA of Scleropages formosus (Asian bonytongue), 2863 nucleotides long. Lineage: Eukaryota; Metazoa; Chordata; Actinopteri; Osteoglossiformes; Osteoglossidae. The record is from Ensembl.